GAUGAACGCUGGCGGCGUGCUUAACACAUGCAAGUCGAACGGGAAUUACUUUAUUGAAGCUUCGGUCGAUUUAAUUUAAUUCUAGUGGCGGACGGGUGAGUAACGCGUGGGUAACCUGCCUUAUACAGGGGGAUAACAGUCAGAAAUGGCUGCUAAUACCGCAUAAGCGCACAGAGCUGCAUGGCUCAGUGUGAAAAACUCCGGUGGUAUAAGAUGGACCCGCGUUGGAUUAGCUGGUUGGUGGGGUAACGGCCUACCAAGGCAACGAUCAGUAGCCGGUCUGAGAGGAUGAACGGCCACAUUGGAACUGAGACACGGUCCAG
RNAcentral lists this ribosomal RNA (323 nucleotides) under uncultured bacterium. RNAcentral's name for it is "bacterial SSU rRNA". It matches the Rfam family "Bacterial small subunit ribosomal RNA", at positions 28 to 334 of the family's 1533-position model. The record is from RNAcentral.